This 492-nucleotide ribosomal RNA is filed under the name uncultured bacterium. Its description in RNAcentral is "partial 16S ribosomal RNA". It matches the Rfam family "Bacterial small subunit ribosomal RNA", at positions 29 to 507 of the family's 1533-position model. The record is from RNAcentral.
AGUGAACGCUGGCGGUAGGCCUAACACAUGCCAGUCGAACGGCAGCACAGUAAGAGCUUGCUCUUACGGGUGGCGAGUGGCGGACGGGUGAGGAAUACAUCGGAAUCUACUUUUUCGUGGGGGAUAACGUAGGGAAACUUACGCUAAUACCGCAUACGACCUACGGGUGAAAGCAGGGGAUCUUCGGACCUUGCGCGAUUGAAUGAGCCGAUGUCGGAUUAGCUAGUUGGCGGGGUAAAGGCCCACCAAGGCGACGAUCCGUAGCUGGUCUGAGAGGAUGAUCAGCCACACUGGAACUGAGACACGGUCCAGACUCCUACGGGAGGCAGCAGUGGGGAAUAUUGGACAAUGGGCGCAAGCCUGAUCCAGCCAUACCGCGUGGGUGAAGAAGGCCUUCGGGUUGUAAAGCCCUUUUGUUGGGAAAGAAAAGCAGUAGGUUAAUACCCCGCUGUUCUGACGGUACCCAAAGAAUAAGCACCGGCUAACUUCGUG